UGCAAUCAAAAUGCAAAUGUAUGUAUAUAAUAAUCUCGAGUCAUAAAAAAACAAACCGAUAGGUUAACUACUCGUCAAUGACUCUCAACUUUCCUUACUCUUGCGACAGCUUGACAUCGUAUUUAGCUACGUUCAAUAUUUCAAUAAAUAAAACAAUAUCAGUUUACACCCAAUUCACAUCUAAAUACAUACAUACCCACUCAUAUUUUUACAUUUUAUUCAAUUUAGUCCCUAUACUCAAAUUAUGCAUAUUUUUCGAUAAAUAGCAUCAAAUCAAAAUAUGAUUUCACAUUCUUUCAUUAGGGACUCUAUACUUUCUAUUUACAACAUAAUCUCAUGAUAGUUUUCAAUUUAUUCAAUUUAGUCCCUAAUGUUUCAAAAUUAUCUAAUAAGCUUAAUUAGCUUUACAAUUUAGUCCUUAUCAUGAUUUAAGCUUAUUAACUAUCAAAUCCAAUCCCAAUUCAUCAAUGUCUCUAUAACGACAACUUGCAAAAAGCUUAAAAAUUCAAUAAAUUGAUACAUGGGCUAGCUAAAUCAAACUCUCAUGAUCAUAAAUCUAUAAAAAAUUGAUGAAAAUAACUUGAUUACCUUGGUAAUUUUGGUAUGGUCGAAUGAAUGAAAAACUUUGAGUUUUUUCUUCUUUUAUUUCUUUCUUCAUCUUCAACCUUCAAUCAGGUCAAUCCAACCCAGUUUAGACCCAAUUUUAUUAAUCAACCAUCUCCCAAUAUAUACACAAAAAAUUUAAAACAUCAAGACAUAAAUAAAAAUGGCUCUCAUAUCAAUUGUUAGAAAAUCUAUAAAAAUAUUAGAUACCUCUAAUAUUUUAUAUAAAAUAUAAACAUACUCAUAUAUAUUAAAACAUGAAAAAUUAACUAAAAGUGGAAUAUAAAGUUAAUCUCUAGUCAUCGAUGUUUAUUUUAUGUACUCUUAACGACUCACUUUGAUGGUAUAUGUUUUUACGAAUUGCUAAGCAUAGGGACCUUUUCAUAGCUUUUAUAUAUAUGGGCAUGUAUAUGCACAUUUUCUCAUAACAAAACGUAUUGUAUUCAUACAUUUUAUGCUUAUUUUAAGUGAAGCAUUAACAUCUUCAAUAAAUACAUGAGUUAUUGAAUAAACUUAAGCAUGAUAUGUUAAUUUUGGUUACACCAUACCAUCAUUAAUAAUGUUUUUUUAUUAACAUAACUUAAAUAAAAAAUAAGGGUAACAUUUGAGAGUUUUAUAUAUACUUAACACUUAAAAAGAAGAAAAAAAACUUACAGCUUUUGGUAAAUUUUGGGGAGUUAUGGACUUAGGUACGGCAGCGGCCAACAAUUACAGCGACGUUUAUGGUGGAUUUUCUGAUAGUUGUUCUUUAUGUAUGAACAGUAGAGACAUGAAAGAGAUGAAGAGAGAAACAAAUGGUGCUACCUCAAUUAUGGUGGUUGACCAGAAACUGAAAAAAAAUAAGUUAUAAUUUAUGGGUUUAGGAGCAAUAGACAUUCAAAUAAAAAUAAAAAAGGAGAUGGACAUGAAAAAGAGAGAAGGGUACAUGAGAGAAUGGAGAGGGAAAACAAAAUGGAUGAUUGUAUAAUCAUGAUUUAAUAAUAUUAAUUUAUACAAUAAUAUUAAUUAUAAAAAUUAAAUAAUUAAUAAUUAUAUAUAUUUUUUAAAAAUUUAAACUGUUCUUAUAAAUUAUUUUAAAAAAAAAUUACAUCUAAUUAUUGUUCUUUUAAAAAUAACAUUUUUAUUAGCUUUAAGAAAUUAUAUAAAUUAAUAUUAUUUGUUUUGUUCCAAGGGUUAAAAAAAUAAUUUAUAAUUAUUACUGAACUAUUCCGUAACACGUAUCAAUCAAACAAUAAUUUAUUAUUCUUUAUCUUACUAAACAUAGUAUUACCUAUUACUUCUC
This 1885-nucleotide long non-coding RNA is filed under the name Gossypium barbadense (sea-island cotton). RNAcentral's name for it is "long non-coding RNA (GBAR_LNC020243)". Lineage: Eukaryota; Viridiplantae; Streptophyta; Magnoliopsida; Malvales; Malvaceae. The record is from RNAcentral.